AUUGAACGCUGGCGGAAUGCUUUACACAUGCAAGUCGAACGGUAGAGGGGGCAACCCCUUGAGAGUGGCGAACGGGUGAGUAAUAUAUCGGAACGUGCCCAGUCGUGGGGAUAACGUAGCGAAAGUUACGCUAAUACCGCAUACGAUCUAAGGAUGAAAGCGGGGGAUCGCAAGACCUCGCGCGAUUGGAGCGGCCGAUAUCAGAUUAGGUAGUUGGUGGGGUAAAGGCUCACCAAGCCAACGAUCUGUAGCUGGUCUGGGAGGACGACCAGCCACACUGGGACUGAGACACGGCCCAGACUCCUACGGGAGGCAGCAGUGGGGAAUUUUGGACAA
This 336-nucleotide ribosomal RNA is filed under the name uncultured bacterium. Its description in RNAcentral is "bacterial SSU rRNA". It matches the Rfam family "Bacterial small subunit ribosomal RNA", at positions 30 to 371 of the family's 1533-position model. The record is from RNAcentral.